UACAGAGGGGGCAAGCGUUGUUCGGAAUUACUGGGCGUAAAGGGCGCGUAGGCGGCCUGUUAAGUCGAACGUGAAAUCCCCGGGCUCAACCCGGGAACUGCGUCCGAUACUGGCAGGCUUGAAUCCGGGAGAGGGAUGUGGAAUUCCAGGUGUAGCGGCGAAAUGCGCAGAUAUCAGGAAGAACACCUAUGGCGAAGGCAGCACUCUGGGACGGUACUGACGCUGAGACGCGACGGCGUGGGGAGCAAACCGG
This 253-nucleotide ribosomal RNA is filed under the name uncultured bacterium. Its description in RNAcentral is "partial 16S ribosomal RNA". It matches the Rfam family "Bacterial small subunit ribosomal RNA", at positions 524 to 776 of the family's 1533-position model. The record is from RNAcentral.